RNAcentral lists this unclassified non-coding RNA (404 nucleotides) under uncultured Cortinarius. Its description in RNAcentral is "sequence contains ITS2". The stretch from base 1 to 154 matches the Rfam family "5.8S ribosomal RNA". The record is from RNAcentral. Lineage: Eukaryota; Fungi; Basidiomycota; Agaricomycetes; Agaricales; Cortinariaceae.
AACUUUCAGCAACGUGUCACGUGGCUCUCGCGUCGAUGAAGAACGCAGCGAAAUGCGAUAAGUAAAUUGAAUUGCAGAAUUCAGUGAAUCAUCGAAUCUUUGAACGCACCUUGCGCUCCUUGGUAUUCCGAGGAGCAUGCCUGUUUGAGUGUCAUUAAUAUAUAUAUCAACCUUCUCUUUUUUGAGUGGUUUGGAUGUGGGGGUUUGCUGGCCUUGUAAAGGGUUCAGCUCCCCUGAAAUGCAUUAGCAGAACAACCCUGUUCAUUGGUGUGAUAACUAUCUACGCUAUUGAAUGUAAGGGGGCAGUUCAGCUUUCUAACAGUCCUCGGACAAUUCAUCAUUAAUGUGACCUCAAAUCAGGUAGGACUACCCGCUGAACUUAAGCAUAUCAAUAAGCGGAGGCU